Molecule: ribosomal RNA, 481 nt
Filed under: uncultured bacterium
Lineage: Bacteria
Description: partial 16S ribosomal RNA
Rfam family: Bacterial small subunit ribosomal RNA
Source: RNAcentral
GAUGAACGCUGGCGGCGUGCUUAACACAUGCAAGUCGAACGAAGCAUUUGCGACAGAUUUUUUCGGAAUGAAGUUGCUUAUGACUGAGUGGCGGACGGGUGAGUAACGCGUGGGUAACCUGCCUUGUACUGGGGGAUAGCAGCUGGAAGCGGCUGGUAAUACCGCAUAAGCGCACAAUGUUGCAUGACAUGGUGUGAAAAACUCCGGUGGUAUAAGAUGGACCCGCGUCUGAUUAGCUAGUUGGUGAGAUAACAGCCCACCAAGGCGACGAUCAGUAGCCGACCUGAGAGGGUGACCGGCCACAUUGGGACUGAGACACGGCCCAGACUCCUACGGGAGGCAGCAGUGGGGAAUAUUGCACAAUGGAGGAAACUCUGAUGCAGCGACGCCGCGUGAGUGAAGAAGUAAUUCGUUAUGUAAAGCUCUAUCAGCAGGGAAGAUAGUGACGGUACCUGACUAAGAAGCUCCGGCUAAAUACGUG